GCUUGGGUCCCCUUCCACACUGUGGAAGCUUUGUUCUUUUGCUAUUUGCAAUAAGUCUUGCUACUGCCCACACUUUGGGUCCACACUGCUUUUAUGAGCUGUAACACUCACUGUGAAGGUCCGCAGCUUCACUCCUGAGCCAGCGAGACCACGAAUCCACCAGAAGGAAGAAACUCCGCAAACAUCCGAACAUCAGAAGGAAUAAACACCAGACGCUCCACCUUAAGAGCUGUAGCACUCACUGCCAGGGUCCGCGGCUUCAUUCUUGAAGUCAGUGAGACCAAGAACCCACCAAUUCCGGACACACACACAAAUCUCCAUGAUUUUUGUAGGAAAUGCCUUCUUUCUUCUCAAGAAUCAAUGCUCUAGAAAAAUCUACAAAAUACUUAUCUGGAGUUACAUUCUGUAGUUUAAACAAUAUGAAAUCUACAGUGAGUGGAGAUUCUGAGCUGCUGAGCAGUUUCUCCAGGUAGCAGGUGGUUGCAGCAGACUACAUCUGUAGCUCCAGUGAGUCUCCGAUUACCCUCCAUAGAUUGCUCCAAGAAUGUGUCAUAAUUUGUUUAAGCCAAUCAACAGAUCAUAUUUCCUGGUCAUUGAGAAACAGUGAGAUCUUGGUUGGAGAUGUCAGGAGACACACCCACAUUCCACAGAUUUAUUCCUGACCCUCAGCUCCAACAGCAUUAAAAAAAGAAAAAAAUAACAUACAUUUUCUAUUGUGCUUUGAUAAUUAUUUCAUUCUGCUCUGCUAUCUGGAGUAAAUAUUAGGCCACAGGGUAUGGUCCUUAAGGGGUAACUUCUUCCAAUUUCAUGUAUGAAUAAAUAAUGUUGUAUGGAGAAUUCUAGCUUUAGUAACAUUAGUUUUUACACAGACUAUAUUUCAAUAGAAAGAUAUGAACAAUAUAGCAGCCACCUAUUGGUUUAAUGAAUUCAUAAAAAUGGUAAUAUCCAUUUUCUUAUUCUAGCAAUGUGUAAAUUACAGUAUUUGAGAGAGCAUAUUCAUAGUUUAUUUACAAGUAUUCUCAUUUAUCAGAAAACUAAAAUUUAUUUGAACUUGUAAAACAAAAUGACCUAUAUAUACCAAUAUCAUUAGUCUAAAAAAAAAAUAAUUAUUUACCUCUCAGAGCCCAUGAGCUAGGCAAAGAUGAGAUGGAGAUGAUCUGAUUAAGACGUUGUUCAAGAAAAGUAUUUGUGAAAUCGCCAUUGUAAUAAAACAAUAUAGUGCUUUAAACAGAAGGUUGUAAUAUAUAGUUUAGAGUUUCAUCACUCUACGUAUUUCAGAUGUGGGGAUAAAUAUAAACCUAAGACAUAGUUAAGGUAAACAUUGGGAAACAAUUUGUUUUCUUUCCUUGAAAUCAAAGUUACCAAUCUCUGAUUAAAACAUAGUCCAGUUUCAUGACUGAAGUAUUGGCUGGUGGGAACCAGAAUUCAGCUGAUCUGAUAUUUAGGAGGUGAUUAUUGAUCCUGACAUCAAUACGGCUUUUAGGGUCACCCAGAUUGCUCCAUCACUGACAGGGGGCAGUCAGAUUAUUCUCACUAUUCCUGGAUUUUUUGUGAUUUACAUAAAGAGACUCUAUAGGUGAUGCUACACAUUUUAAUUUUGUUACUUCUAACCAAGAAUAAUUUAACCAACAGUCAUACGCAAUGUUCCUCAUAAAAAUGAAUAGAAAGCUUAUCAAAUAACUGACUAUAAUAGGUUUAUUAAUUGAUAUGGUUUGGCUGUGUCCCCACCCAAAUCUCACCUUGAGUUGUAAUAAUCCCCAUGUGUCAAGGGCAGGAGCAGGUGGAGGUAACUGAAUCAUGGGGGAGGUGUUCCCCCAUGCUAUUCUCAUGAUAGUGAGUGAGUUCUCAUGAGAUUGGAUGGUUUUAUAAGCAUCUGGCAUUUCCCCUGCCGAAACUCAUUCUCUCUCCUGCUGCCCUGUAAAGAGGUGGCUUCCUCCAUGAUUGUAAGUUUCCUGAGGCCUCCCAAGCCAUGUGGAACUGUGAGUCAAUUAAAUCUCUUUUCUUUAUAAAUUGCCAAGUCUCAGGCAGUUCUCUAUAGCAGCAUGAGAAAAGACUAAUACAUUAAUCAAAUCAUAUUUGUCAUUUCUUCUAUUAUACCAUUAAAAUUAAAAUCCCAAUAAUACUAAAAAUAAAUCAAGGUACAUGAGGACAGCAAUGAAAAUUAUUUAUUUACCCGUAUAAUAGUUACUCGCAAUCACCUGAUACUUGAUAAUACAGUUUAAUUUAAAUACACAAUAAUAGGGUUGCCAUUUUAUUUCCAUAUGAGAAAGAAAAUGAUAUAUAGUGCUUUAUCUUUCUAGAAAUACAAGGUGUAACAAUGUUUAGUUCUUUAAGUUAUGAGGUGAAACCAUUCAAAAAUAA
This 2361-nucleotide long non-coding RNA is filed under the name Homo sapiens (human). RNAcentral's name for it is "HSALNT0056600". Lineage: Eukaryota; Metazoa; Chordata; Mammalia; Primates; Hominidae. The record is from RNAcentral.